RNAcentral lists this unclassified non-coding RNA (252 nucleotides) under Athalia rosae (coleseed sawfly). RNAcentral's name for it is "misc RNA ENSAEAG00005001410.1". Lineage: Eukaryota; Metazoa; Arthropoda; Insecta; Hymenoptera; Athaliidae. The record is from RNAcentral.
CGUCGAACUCUUGGCGAUCGGACUCUGCGCUGAAGAGGGAUGACCGUGUCCAGGGGUGCUGAAGUAGCCGCCAGCUUUUGGUUUGAUGUGCCUGUUAUGCAUUUCCAUGUGCACAAUUUUCAUGAACUCAAUUUGAGCUGCCAACUUCUGAAUCUCUUCCUGGGGAUCGAAGUUGGUGAAUUGUCCGGAGAGUUUUCGUUAAACAAUGGCCGGUCUAAUCUGGAUCGAAAAUUUAUACGGGGGGAAUAAACG